ACAUAGUUCUCUGUGAUGAAACACACAUAGUGACGGAUGUGUCACGUACCAUAGAUGAGGACUUUCACCCUUUGGAGCUUCACGACACUACACCACUCAUACAAGCAUCACAACUACUGUACACUGAGCAAAAUGCAGUUUGUUGGGUCUGAGAAGAAGGAGGAAGAACUGUAUCAAAGAGGGUAAGCUUGUGAUACUGUGUACAGGACAACAGUCUUUGGUAUGUCUCUCCCUGACAUUGUCUCUCCCCAUGAAACUGUAUCUAUCUCCCACCCCCUCUCUCUCUUUCCCCUGAAACUCUCUCCCCAUGUUACUCUCUCUCUAUCCCCCUCUCAUCUUUCUCUAUGACACAACCUCUCUCGCUCCUGCCUCUUUUAUUACAUGAAACCCUCUCUCUCUCUCUCUCUCCCUCCCUGACCCUUCUCAACCCCUCUCUCUCUUUCUUGUUCCUCUCUCUCUCUCUCUCUCUCUCUCUCUCUCUCCUGCUCCUGUAUGUGACAUGUUGUGAACAUACAGUACAGUACUGUACAAAUAAUAAUUAUUUUAUCUUCUUCCCACCAUGCACUGAACUACUGUACAUUGAGCAAAAUUCAUGAAAGUGAGAGGAAUAAAUUGGCAAUGCACACCUCCAAAUACAUUGGCAACACACCCCACCAGAAUCACCGGACAUGAAUCCUAUAGAAAUGGUCUGGGCACAGCAGGUGUGAUGUGAAACCAAACAAAAAAAACAAGAACUUUUGGUUGGGAUAAAGAAGUUUUGGGUAGAAGUACUGACACCUGCCAAGUGUAAUAAUUCCAUAAACCUCCUGGACAGAGUCUUGCCUGUCGUCAUUGAACGAAAUGGUCAUGCCACUGAUAUGCAGUUUCUCCAGUGCCUCCAGUACCUCUCACUUAACUCAAUGAGCCCUUCGCUGUCCACCUCACAACACAUCUCCCUCCCUUCAGUGUCGACAUCACAUACUGUAAAUUCCUCCCUGCAGUACCUUAAAUAUCCAUCUCUCAGCACUCUGUACAGUACAGUACUUCACUGAGAAGGGUCUGAGAAGAAGGAAGAAGAACUGCAUCAAAGAAGGUAAGCCUGUGAUAUUACUGUAUAUAGUACAACGGUCUUUGGUAUCUCUCUACCUGACAUUGUCACUCCCCUGAAACUCUCUCCCACCAUCUCUCUCUCUCUUUCCCCUGAAACUGUAUCUCUCUCCAACCCCCUCUCUCCCCAUGUUACUCUCUCUCUCUCUCACCCCUCUCAUCUUUAUCCAUGACACCAUCUCUCUCGCUCCUGCCAAAUUUAUUACAACAAACCCUCUCCCUCUCGCUCUCCCUGCCCCUUCUCAAUCCCUCCCUCUCUUUCUUGUUCCUCUCUCUCCUGCAUGGGAUUUGAUAUUGACACCAGCAGGGUGUGCUUUCAAGGUUUUGCUAUGGGACCCUCAAAGUUCUACUUUCGAACCUGCAUAACAGUACUCAAUGUCAGAGAUAUACAGUACUGUAUACUGUACUGUACUAUAGGCUGUUCUUAAAUGCCAGAUUUUGAGAAACACUUUGUUAAGCAUUGUUGGGACAUGUUGUGAACAUACGAAUACUAAUACUGGACUAAUAAUACAUAUUUUUCUAUCUUCUUCCCACCAUGCACUGAACUACUGUAUAUUGAGCAAAAUGCAAAAUUCAUGAAAGAGAGGAAUAAAGUGGCACCACACACUGCCAAAAACAGUACAUUGGCAACGCACACCGCCAGAUGUACUGUAGAUCACCAGACAGGAAUCCUAUUGAAUUGGUCUGGGCACAGUUGAAGAGGUACUGUGAUGUGAAACCAAAAAAUAAACAAAAACUUUUGGCUGGGAUAAAGAUGUUUUGGGUAGAAGUAUUGCACCUGCCUUGGGUAAUAAUUAAACCAUCUGGACAGAGUCUUGCCUGUCGUCAUUGAACAAAAUGGUCAUGCCACUGCUACAGUAUGUAGCUUCUCCAGUACUACAGUUUAUACUGUACCUUUAAAACUGAGCCCCUCGCAGCAGUUUCUUACUGUAUACUGUACCUCUCACUUCACUCAAUGUCCCCUUCACUGUUCACCUCACAACACCUCUCCCUUAUCUCAAUAUCUACUGUACCUCACAGCACUAACUGUACCUCACAGCACUACACAGGAGAAAAUGUACAGCAAAAUGUCCAUUGCAUACUCCACCAUGUCCCAGUACUGUACUUUACUGUACUGGAUAUCCAUAAUUGAAACUUGUACAUUAAUGUACUGUACUGUAUGUUAUGAUAAAAAAAAGUACAAUAUUUUUAGGCAAUACUGUGUUUUAUAAAUAAAGUACUAUAUAUUUUCCAAAAUGUCCACUGUACUGUAUAC
Long non-coding RNA from Pseudophryne corroboree (corroboree frog), 2341 nucleotides. RefSeq lists it as uncharacterized. Lineage: Eukaryota; Metazoa; Chordata; Amphibia; Anura; Myobatrachidae. The transcript is spliced from 3 exons. The record is from RefSeq and is a predicted model, not a curated record.